This 542-nucleotide ribosomal RNA is filed under the name uncultured bacterium. Its description in RNAcentral is "bacterial SSU rRNA". It matches the Rfam family "Bacterial small subunit ribosomal RNA", at positions 772 to 1316 of the family's 1533-position model. The record is from RNAcentral.
ACUGAAUAGAUACCCUGGUAGUCCAUGCUGUAAACGAUGAGAACUAGAUGUUAGGGGCAUGACCUCUUAGUAUCGAAGCUAACGCGAUAAGUUCUCCGCCUGGGGAGUACGGCCGCAAGGUUAAAACUCAAAGAAAUUGACGGGGGCCCGCACAAGCGGUGGAGCAUGUGGUUUAAUUCGAUGCAACGCGAAGAACCUUACCUACCUUUGAAUCCACGGAACCUAGCAGAGAUGUUGGGGUGCCUUCGGGAACCGUGAGACAGGUGCUGCAUGGCUGUCGUCAGCUCGUGUCGUGAGAUGUUGGGUUAAGUCCCGUAACGAGCGCAACCCUUGUCCUUAGUUGCCAUCAGGUUAUGCUGGGCACUUUAAGGAGACUGCCGGUGAUAAACCGGAGGAAGGUGGGGAUGACGUCAAGUCCUCAUGGCCCUUACAGGUAGGGCUACACACGUGCUACAAUGGGCAGUACAGAGGGAAGCCAACCCGCGAGGGGUAGCGAAUCUCAUAAAGCUGUUCGUAGUCCGGAUUGGAGUCCGCAACUCGAC